RNAcentral lists this long non-coding RNA (591 nucleotides) under Cyanistes caeruleus (blue tit). RNAcentral describes it as "lncRNA (ENSCCEG00000018583.1)". The record is from RNAcentral. Lineage: Eukaryota; Metazoa; Chordata; Aves; Passeriformes; Paridae.
CUAAAGCACAGCCUCAGAUGAGAAGAGAGUUCCUUUUUGUGUGGCUGAAAACAGGGAGUCAAGGAAGAAGGAGAGGAAAAAGCAUAAAAUCUGUGUUCUCUUACUGUGGAGAGAAGAGAGGGACUAGGAUGUCUUUUCCAUCUGCAGAAUCCAUACAAGAUGUGACAAGAAAUUCCAGCCUACCAACAUGGGGCAAGAGAGAGAGAUGCUGAUUUCCAUUUCUGAAACAUGUAUAAUGUUCAGAGGCUUUACAAGGAUGAAUUUAGAGGAGGCAGGUCAAAAAAGUCCAAACUUCCUCCUCCAGCACUGCCCUGUGUGCCCUGCACACUCUCACUUCACCAGCCACGGCUGUGCAGCAUAUUGCAGAAUUUCCUAUCCAGCCCACCAGCCUCAUACAGCCAAAGAAGCUCUGCCAGCAACAUCUCACAGCAAAGACUUCACGGCAAGUAGCCCAUUACGAAUGCACUCACAGAGGCACGAAGAAUGGUCAUUAAAAAAGAUGUUCCCCAGCUCUCUGCUAAGUUCUUGUUAGAUGCAGAUAUGUAGCAAAGUUUAAAUAAAAAAAAAAAAGAAAAAAAAAAAAAAAGAACG